GUCUAUGGCCAUACCACCCUGAACGCACCCGAUCUUGUCUGACCUCGGAAGCUAAGCAGGGUUGGGCCUGGUUAGCACUUGGAUGGGAGACCACCUGGGGAUACUGGGUGCUGUAGGCU
Ribosomal RNA from Cebus imitator (Panamanian white-faced capuchin), 119 nucleotides. The record is from Ensembl. Lineage: Eukaryota; Metazoa; Chordata; Mammalia; Primates; Cebidae.